RNAcentral lists this ribosomal RNA (468 nucleotides) under uncultured bacterium. RNAcentral describes it as "partial 16S ribosomal RNA". It matches the Rfam family "Bacterial small subunit ribosomal RNA", at positions 28 to 507 of the family's 1533-position model. The record is from RNAcentral.
GACGAACGCUGGCGGCGUGCUUAACACAUGCAAGUCGUACGGAAAGGCCCUGCUUUUGUGGGGUGCUCGAGUGGCGAACGGGUGAGUAACACGUGAGUAACCUGCCCUUGACUUUGGGAUAACUUCAGGAAACUGGGGCUAAUACCGGGUAGGAGCUCCUGCUGCAUGGUGGGGGUUGGAAAGUUUCGGCGGUUGGGGAUGGACUCGCGGCUUAUCAGCUUGUUGGUGGGGUAGUGGCUUACCAAGGCUUUGACGGGUAGCCGGCCUGAGAGGGUGACCGGCCACAUUGGGACUGGGAUACGGCCCAGACUCCUACGGGAGGCAGCAGUGGGGAAUAUUGCACAAUGGGCGGAAGCCUGAUGCAGAAACGCCGCGUGCGGGAUGACGGCCUUCGGGUUGUAAACCGCUUUCGCCUGUGACGAAGCGUGAGUGACGGUAAUGGGUAAAGAAGCACCGGCUAACUACGUG